UAGGGAAUCUUCGGCAAUGGGGGGAACCCUGACCGAGCAACGCCGCGCGAGUGAAGAAGGUUUUCGGAUCGUAAAGCUCUGUUGUUAAGGAAGAACGAGUGUGAGAAUGGAAAGUUCAUACUGUGACGGUACUUAACCAGAAAGGGACGGCUAACUACGUGCCAGCAGCCGCGGUAAUACGUAGGUCCCGAGCGUUGUCCGGAUUUAUUGGGCGUAAAGCGAGCGCAGGCGGUUAGAUAAGUCUGAAGUUAAAGGCAGUGGCUCAACCAUUGUAGGCUUUGGAAACUGUUUAACUUGAGUGCAGAAGGGGAGAGUGGAAUUCCAUGUGUAGCGGUGAAAUGCGUAGAUAUAUGGAGGAACACCGGUGGCGAAAGCGGCUCUCUGGUCUGUAACUGACGCUGAGGCUCGAAAGCGGGGGGAGCGAACAGG
RNAcentral lists this ribosomal RNA (429 nucleotides) under Bacteroidota bacterium. Its description in RNAcentral is "Bacteroidetes bacterium partial 16S ribosomal RNA". It matches the Rfam family "Bacterial small subunit ribosomal RNA", at positions 355 to 776 of the family's 1533-position model. The record is from RNAcentral. Lineage: Bacteria; Pseudomonadati; Bacteroidota.